UCCCUGGUAACUCAGUAGGUAAAGAAUCUGCCUGCAGUGCAGGAGACCCAGGUUUGAUCCCUGGAUCGGGAA
Non-coding RNA from Bos taurus (domestic cattle), 72 nucleotides. NCBI's taxonomy places the organism in Eukaryota, Metazoa, Chordata, Mammalia, Artiodactyla, Bovidae. The record is from Rfam.